UUCCGGUUGAUCCCGCCGGAGGCGACCGCUUUGGGAGUUCGAUUAAGCCAUGCGAGUCGUGAGUCUUAGGGACUCGGCAUACUGCUCAGUAACACGUGGAUAACCUGCCCUAUCGUCUGGAAUAACCUCGGGAAACUGAGAAUAAGGCCGGAUAGUUCACAAUGCCUGGAACGGUUUGUGAAUCAAGGUAGGAUGGGUCUGCGGCGUAUCAGGUUGUAGGGGGUGUAAAGGACCCCCUAGCCUUCGACGCGUACGGGUGUUGGGAGACAUAGCCCGGAGAUGGAUUCUGAGACACGAAUCCAGACCCUACGGGGUGCAGCAGGCGCGAAAACUUCACACUGCAGGAAACUGUGAUGAGGGAACUCCUAGUGCAUGCACUAUGUGUAUGUAGAUCCUACUCUUAACAAGUAGAGGGAAAGGGCUGGGAAAGACCGGUGCCAGCCGCCGCGGUAAUACCGGCAGCUCAAGUGGUCGUCGCUUUUAUUGGGCCUAAAACGUCCGUAGCCUGUCUGGUAAAUCUGUGGGUAAAUCAAUCCGCUCAACGGAUUGAAUUCUGCAGAGACUGCCAGACUAGGGACCGGGAGAGGUGUGGGGUACUCGAGGGGUAGGGGUAAAAUCCUGUCAUCCUUCGAGGACCACCAGUUGCGAAGGCGCCACACUGGAACGGAUCCGACGGUCAGGGACGAAGCCUAGGGGCACGAACCGGAUUAGAUACCCGGGUAGUCCUAGGUGUAAACGCUGUGAACUUGGUGUCGGGGGUCCGCAAGGGGUCCCCGGUGCCGGGGUGAAGAUGUUAAGUUCACUGCCUGGGGAGUACGGUCGCAAGGCUGAAACUUAAAGGAAUUGGCGGGGCAGCAC
Molecule: ribosomal RNA, 858 nt
Filed under: uncultured euryarchaeote
Lineage: Archaea; Methanobacteriati; Methanobacteriota
Description: bacterial SSU rRNA
Rfam family: Archaeal small subunit ribosomal RNA
Source: RNAcentral